Molecule: ribosomal RNA, 253 nt
Filed under: uncultured bacterium
Lineage: Bacteria
Description: partial 16S ribosomal RNA
Rfam family: Bacterial small subunit ribosomal RNA
Source: RNAcentral
UACAGAGGGGGCAAGCGUUGUUCGGAAUUACUGGGCGUAAAGGGCGCGUAGGCGGCCUUCUAAGUCAUGCGUGAAAUCCCCGGGCUCAACCCGGGAACUGCGUCUGAUACUGGAGGGCUUGAAUCCGGGAGAGGGAUGUGGAAUUCCAGGUGUAGCGGUGAAAUGCGUAGAUAUCUGGAGGAACACCGGUGGCGAAGGCGGCGUUCUGGACUGCAACUGACACUGAGAGACGAAAGCCAGGGGAGCAAACGGG